Molecule: ribosomal RNA, 410 nt
Filed under: uncultured eukaryote
Lineage: Eukaryota
Description: SSU rRNA
Rfam family: Eukaryotic small subunit ribosomal RNA
Source: RNAcentral
UAAUAGCGUAUAUUAAAGUUGUUGCAGUUAAAAGCUCGUAGUUGGAUUUCUGGGAGGGUGCCAAUGUCCGUCAACGUGCGUGUGCAGCGGCGCCCUUCCAUCCUUCUGUUAACGCCUCUGGGCAUUUAUUUGCUGGUGGCGGGCUCAGAUAUUUUACCUUGAGAAAAUUAGAGUGUUUCAGGCAGGCUAGGCCAGGAAUACAUUAGCAUGGAAUAAUAGAAUAGGACUAUGGUCUCUUUGUUGGUUUGAGGGACUGCAGUAAUGAUUAAUAGGGAUAGUUGGGGGCGAUUAGUAUUUAAUUGUUCAGAGGUGAAUUCUCGGAUUUGUUAAAGACUAACUUAUGCGAAAGCAUUUGCCAAGGAUGUUUUCAUUAAUCAAGAACGAAAGUUAGGGGAUCAAAGACGAUCAGA